UCUAUAAUCAAAUUCAAUCAUAGUAAUUUACAACGACUAUAUAACUUGAAAAUUAAAUUAUAUUAAAUGAUUUAAAUUUCAAACUCUAUAUAGUAAUUCAUAUUUCCAAUAUUUAGACCUCCUUUAUUAUCCACAAAACCUUUCAAUUACUUUUGUCAAAAUAGUCGAAUUGUUUACUUAGAUUUACAAUGCCCGACAUAGCAACCAAGCGAUGAUACAAUCCAAUAAAGAAGAGACUUACACGGAGUUUUUUUCCCAGCUAAGCCAGAUCAUUUCUUUUUUAUGAACCUCAACACAACUUCUGAUCUGCAAAAGACUUAAUCUGUUUCUUA
Brassica napus (rape) is the source of this 332-nucleotide long non-coding RNA. RefSeq lists it as uncharacterized. The record is from RefSeq and is a predicted model, not a curated record. The transcript is spliced from 2 exons. NCBI's taxonomy places the organism in Eukaryota, Viridiplantae, Streptophyta, Magnoliopsida, Brassicales, Brassicaceae.